Molecule: ribosomal RNA, 198 nt
Filed under: uncultured bacterium
Lineage: Bacteria
Description: partial 16S ribosomal RNA
Rfam family: Bacterial small subunit ribosomal RNA
Source: RNAcentral
ACGCUCGACACCUACGGGAGGCUGCAGUCGGGAAUAUUGCGCAAUGGAGGAAACUCUGACGCAGUGACGCCGCGUAUAGGAAGAAGGUUUUCGGAUUGUAAACUAUUGUCGUUAGGGAAGAGAAAGGACAGUACCUAAGGAGGAAGCUCCGGCUAACUACGUGCCACAGCCGCGGUAAUCUGAGCGGGCUGGCAAGGC